CCUACGGGCGGCAGCAGUGAGGAAUAUUGGUCAAUGGGCGGAAGCCUGAACCAGCCAAGUCGCGUGAGGGAUUAAGGCCCUGCGGGUCGUAAACCUCUUUUGCCGGGGAGCAGAGGUCCGGACGUGUCCGGGCCGGGAGAGUACCCGGAGAAAAAGCAUCGGCUAACUCCGUGCCAGCAGCCGCGGUAAUACGGAGGAUGCGAGCGUUAUCCGGAUUUAUUAGGUUUAAAGGGUGCGUAGGCGGGCAUUUAAGCCGGCGGUCAAAUGUCGGGGCUCAACCCCGGCCUGCCGUCGGAACUGGGUGCCUUGAGUGGACGAGAAGUAUGCGGAAUGCGUGGUGUAGUGGUGAAAUGCAUAGAUAUCACGCAGAACCCCGAUUGCGAAGGCAGCAUACCGGCGCCCUACUGACGCUGAGGCACGAAAGUGCGGGUAUCGAACAGGAUUAGAUACCCCGGUAGUC
This 460-nucleotide ribosomal RNA is filed under the name uncultured bacterium. Its description in RNAcentral is "partial 16S ribosomal RNA". It matches the Rfam family "Bacterial small subunit ribosomal RNA", at positions 338 to 795 of the family's 1533-position model. The record is from RNAcentral.